AGCUCUUGGAAACAGACGUAGACUAGACUAGACAGUGGCACAACAAUCAUGUCAAUGGUGGCCCAUUGCAUAGGGAAAAACCCUACCUGUAAGUGCAGUGUAGAACUACUGUUAGGGAAUAUCCCUUCAUUCUUACUGCCAUGGAGAGUGUUGUGAUCAACUGGAGCCUCCUGUGUCUUGUCUUGUCUUAGGAACAGUGCUGCUCACCAAGCUGCUCAGAUUAUGGAGUCCCAAGCUAUCUAACAAAUUGGUGUAUUGGUACGCCUCUGAGACUCCUGACUUGGUUAGCCUGAAGAGAGAAGUAUCAGAUAUAAAGCAACAGUUGCAGCACGUUAAUAUGAUGGACAAUUUUGCAGAUCAUGCCAGACUUCAGAGGAGAAUCAAUCAGAAGGACAGAGAGCUUCAGGUGAAAGAGAAGGGUCAAGUCACAGUUGACGAAGCUGAGUGCCGUGUUGAGUGGAGAGAGUUCAUUGUUAAUAUUGAUAAUGCAUAUUGGUGUCGUCAUGCUGAAUCAUCGGAGACCAGUUGCCAUUUCCCCCACUGAACUGUUCCAUCCAGUGUCUCCACUCCUGGCCUUCCCCACUGGACAACCAGGUGGUAUCGGCUGUCCUCUGUGGGCUGUAGCCUGCUCUCAGUUUAGAUACUGUCAUGCAAUGUCUGAACGUUGUCUAGUUUUAUUAUUGUAUAUACUUUCAUAAUUAUAUUAUAAUUGUUUUUUGGUUUCAGUUGUUAUUC
This is a long non-coding RNA of Halichondria panicea, 735 nucleotides long. RefSeq lists it as uncharacterized. The record is from RefSeq and is a predicted model, not a curated record. The transcript is spliced from 6 exons. Lineage: Eukaryota; Metazoa; Porifera; Demospongiae; Suberitida; Halichondriidae.